This 53-nucleotide small RNA is filed under the name Celeribacter indicus. RNAcentral describes it as "ffh sRNA". It matches the Rfam family "ffh sRNA". Lineage: Bacteria; Pseudomonadati; Pseudomonadota; Alphaproteobacteria; Rhodobacterales; Roseobacteraceae. The record is from Rfam by way of RNAcentral.
UGAGGCCAGGAUCGCCCCCCGUCAGCGCGUUGCGCCCACGGGGGCAACCUGUG